RNAcentral lists this long non-coding RNA (524 nucleotides) under Androctonus crassicauda. Lineage: Eukaryota; Metazoa; Arthropoda; Arachnida; Scorpiones; Buthidae. The record is from RNAcentral.
UGCUGAUUUCUCUCCCUCUUUGAUCUUUCUCGUUGCGCAAAUAAGAGGCUGCCUAUGUUGUUCAAUUCUUUGUGCAACGAGAAAGAUCGAAGAAAAGAGGGAGAGAAAUCAGUGGUUUGUGAUUCCUCUAGAAUAUCCGCGGGAGAGGGGGCACACAGAGUGUAUUGGGGUCGCUGCUGGGACGCUCGAUCGGCGAAUGCAGGAGCAUGGGAGGGAUGUCAAAGCGGGAAGGAUUGCCACAGCACUGUCUGAGGAAGCGUUUUUCUGAGCAGGUGCGUGUGGAUUGGGUCAAUGCAAAGGUCCUUGAGCCGCUUAUGGUGCCGGCACGGGUGGUCACACGAGAGACGGUGGAGAUACUGAAUGGAGGCUGCCGCCGGGAUGUUGCAAACAACAGGCCUUCCAUGCGGCUGCCUUCAGCAUGGAGGUGCUUAUUGGAUGAGUGUGGGGACUCUUAAUACAACGGGACAUUUUUCGUGUUUGUGUUUGCUUGGAUUGUAAUUUCUGUGUUUCUAGUUGGGCUGUGG